ACUAGCGGUAGCCUAGUUGGUUAGGGCGUCGGCACUUCGGCAGUACUGAUGCCGAUGGUCGCAGGUUCAAAUCCUGCCUGCGGUG
Molecule: non-coding RNA, 85 nt
Organism: Phthorimaea operculella (potato tuberworm)
Lineage: Eukaryota; Metazoa; Arthropoda; Insecta; Lepidoptera; Gelechiidae
Source: the annotation of a GenBank genome assembly